RNAcentral lists this unclassified non-coding RNA (1774 nucleotides) under Hevea brasiliensis (rubber tree). Lineage: Eukaryota; Viridiplantae; Streptophyta; Magnoliopsida; Malpighiales; Euphorbiaceae. The record is from RNAcentral.
GGCUUCCGUGUUUCUGUAGUUCCUGUGACAUGAUAAUAUAUAACCAAAUAAAAAUUUUCAUCUACAAAGAAACAUACACCAUAAAAAUAAAAUAUAAUCAAACACAUUAAUAAUACAUUCAAACCGUUCAGGAGAAAAACAGAAAGUUUAAUCAACUAGGAAGAAAAAUAAUCUUAUACAAGGACAUUAAUGGAAUCCAACUAGAGAACACACAUGUUAUAUUGCAAAACUUAAUGUCAAUUUUCCUCUCCUGCCCUUAUAGAUACCUUUGUACCAUGAAUCAAUUGUGAAUCAGAGUCUGCUAAAAUUUAAGAACUUUUCUCAUCUACAAGGUUGUCAUGACUCUCCCACAACCCAAUAUAUGUCUAUAGCAUGCAAGUAAAAUAUUGAACCAAUGUCCUUUAUGUUAUGAUUGGAUUGAAGAGUUUCAAAUGAGAGGAUUUUGACACAAUUUUGUUUUAAAUUGUUUGAAUGAAAUUAAGUAAAUUUUUCAAUGGUUAGAUUCAUGAAUUGAAAAUUAAAUUCAUAAAUGUAGAGAAAAUUUUGUUUUUGGUGAACUUAAAACAACACAUUUUUCUAGGUAUUUCAAAUUCACAAUCAAAUAAGAUUUUUAUCCAUAUUCGUCAGCCUAACUUACAUUCAUAAAUCUAAAAAAUAAAGAAUCUAAGAAUAUGUAAAUUCAAAUCUCUCCAUUUAAAUUCCUCAUUCAAAGACAAUGUUAGAAGACAAUACACAUAAAGCAAAAGUUUUGGCCAUUGACCAAUUUGUCAUUUCAAGCAUGCCUGUAAACCAAAAUGUGCAAAAAAAAAGUACAAUUUUUUUUACCAUGGAAAAAUUAGCAGGCUCAAAUUACCUCAAUCAAAGCUUCCCACUUUUAUAUAGACAAUAAGAAUGAUAAACCGAAACCAAUUUGCGCUUAAUCAACAAUGAUACCAAAACACUUAUCUUCUAAUCAACUGGCAUAGUGGCCACAAUAUUCUUAUUAACAAAUACAAAAUUGGCUUUAUCUUCUUGAGUCUUAAAUAAUUGUUAACACCUCAAAAUAUUUAGAAGUUCCAACCUUAAAUGGAGAAUCAUUACACCUUGAAGCAUGGAUAUUUAAGUAUAACUUCUGUUUGACCAAUUCCAACUAGAAACUAUGUUGUGGAUACAUUUGUGGGCAGAUUAAAUUGUUUGAAACUUAAAAUUGUGGUAAAUCCCUUUCAGUUAGAGGUUGUUUUGAAAAUCAAGGGACCAGACCAGAAUCUUCAUCUGCAACUUUGAUUUUAGAUUUUUAUUUCAAGUUUAAAAAAUAAUUAGUUAUGAUGUAACUUUUAUAGAAGUCUUGUUCCUUUAUUCUACUGUAGCCUUUCUACAUAAGGCAUCAAUUAUGAUUAAUGAAAUAAGCAGCAUUUUAUCCAAAAGUAUUUAUGAGAUUGGAAGGUUCCCUCUAACAAGCCUUCACAUUAAGUUUCAAACAUAGGUUCUUCAAGGAAGAACAGGAAUGUGAACAAAGGAAAAACAGCAAGACUUGAGAAGGAUUUCCGAGUUUAUUGACCUGUGAUGAGAUCCUAUUCAAGGGAAUAUAACAACUUGGUAUCAGAGCCAAUCAUCAUGGGUGAACUAGCAAGUCUAGAAGAGAAGCCAAACACUUUCAUGCAACAAUUCAAAGCUCUAUACAAUGACUUGGCUCAGCAACUAUCCGAGCUGGUGUGAACCUUUAACAAAGGAACAAAUCAGAACCAAGAUGGAAUGAGGAGUAGCUAACAAAAUUUUGGUCAACAGGCUAACGAGC